This 429-nucleotide ribosomal RNA is filed under the name uncultured bacterium. Its description in RNAcentral is "bacterial SSU rRNA". It matches the Rfam family "Bacterial small subunit ribosomal RNA", at positions 355 to 776 of the family's 1533-position model. The record is from RNAcentral.
UGGGGAAUUUUGGACAAUGGGCGCAAGCCUGAUCCAGCAAUGCCGCGUGCGGGAAGAAGGCCUUCGGGUUGUAAACCGCUUUUGGCAGGAACGAAAAGCUCUGGGCUAAUACCCUGGGGUGAUGACGGUACCUGCAGAAUAAGCACCGGCUAACUACGUGCCAGCAGCCGCGGUAAUACGUAGGGUGCGAGCGUUAAUCGGAAUUACUGGGCGUAAAGCGUGCGCAGGCGGUUGUGCAAGACAGGCGUGAAAUCCCCGGGCUUAACCUGGGAAUGGCGCUUGUGACUGCACGGCUGGAGUGCGGCAGAGGGGGAUGGAAUUCCGCGUGUAGCAGUGAAAUGCGUAGAUAUGCGGAGGAACACCGAUGGCGAAGGCAAUCCCCUGGGCCUGCACUGACGCUCAUGCACGAAAGCGUGGGGAGCAAACAGG